Non-coding RNA from Podarcis raffonei (Aeolian wall lizard), 76 nucleotides. Lineage: Eukaryota; Metazoa; Chordata; Lepidosauria; Squamata; Lacertidae. The record is from the annotation of a RefSeq genome assembly.
GGCCAGGGCUGUAGCUCAGCGGUAGAGCAUCUGCUUUGCAUGCAGAAGGUCCCAGGUUCAAUCCCUGGGAGUGUCC